RNAcentral lists this ribosomal RNA (495 nucleotides) under uncultured bacterium. RNAcentral's name for it is "partial 16S ribosomal RNA". It matches the Rfam family "Bacterial small subunit ribosomal RNA", at positions 28 to 505 of the family's 1533-position model. The record is from RNAcentral.
GAUGAACGCUGGCGGCGUGCCUAAUACAUGCAAGUCGAGCGAACAGACGAGGAGCUUGCUCCUCUGACGUUAGCGGCGGACGGGUGAGUAACACGUGGAUAACCUACCUAUAAGACUGGGAUAACUUCGGGAAACCGGAGCUAAUACCGGAUAAUAUAUUGAACCGCAUGGUUCAAUAGUGAAAGACGGUUUUGCUGUCACUUAUAGAUGGAUCCGCGCCGCAUUAGCUAGUUGGUAAGGUAACGGCUUACCAAGGCAACGAUGCGUAGCCGACCUGAGAGGGUGACCGGCCACACUGGAACUGAGACACGGUCCAGACUCCUACGGGAGGCAGCAGUAGGGAAUCUGCCGCAAGGGGCGAAAGCCUGACGGAGCAACGCCGCGUGAGUGAUGAAGGUCUUCGGAUCGUAAAACUCUGUUAUUAGGGAAGAACAAAUGUGUAAGUAACUAUGCACGUCUUGACGGUACCUAAUCAGAAAGCCACGGCUAACUACG